GCUGCUGGGGCUGGUUCCAGUUGGGAAGUGAACUGGAUGAUGGACCCAGCCGGAUGGGAUGCAGAGCUCCGUGAGUGCCUUUUCCUGCCCCUUUAUCCCUAUGGAUGCGCUCCGGGGUCGGAUCCUUGCCCUCACAUCCCCUUUGCUGAAGGAGGACCCCGGUGAGUGCCCAGCCCCAUUGCCCAUUCCCAACCAGUUCUGUUCCCCUUUGUCCCAUGCAGAGAGCGACGUGGAACUGGGAAUGCUCCCGGAGCAGGGAACGGGCUCCCUGCCAUCCUGCAGCAUUCCCAAGCUUUGUGGCUCUCUCCUAGAGGGAUGUGACAUGGAGAACGGUGAACUCACAGCAGAGAUAGAGAGCCUGAGCUCCCAGCUGGAGGAACGGGACAGGAGGAUCAGCAAACUCACAGCGGAGCUGGGUGAACGGGAUGCCAGGAUCAGUAAGUGGAAUUCCCCCUUGGAUGGGGGGAAACAGAGGGGCAAAUCCUAUUGGGAAUAUGGGAAUAGCAUCCACAGCCUGGAAUUCCAGGGUCCAAGCUCCAGGUGA
RNAcentral lists this long non-coding RNA (544 nucleotides) under Melopsittacus undulatus (budgerigar). RNAcentral's name for it is "lncRNA (ENSMUNG00000018679.1)". The record is from RNAcentral. Lineage: Eukaryota; Metazoa; Chordata; Aves; Psittaciformes; Psittaculidae.